Molecule: ribosomal RNA, 253 nt
Filed under: uncultured bacterium
Lineage: Bacteria
Description: partial 16S ribosomal RNA
Rfam family: Bacterial small subunit ribosomal RNA
Source: RNAcentral
UACGAAGGGUGCAAACGUUGCUCGGAAUCAUUGGGCGUAAAGCGCACGUAGGCGGCCUGGUAAGUCGGAUGUGAAAUCCCGCGGCUCAACCGUGGAAGUGCAUCCGAAACUGCUUGGCUCGAGUAUGGAAGAGGGUCGUAGAAUUCCCGGUGUAGAGGUGAAAUUCGUAGAUAUCGGGAGGAAUACCAGUGGCGAAGGCGGCGACCUGGGCCAAUACUGACGCUGAGGUGCGAAAGCGCGGGGAGCGAACGGG